UUAGAGUUUGAUCAUGGCUCAGGAUGAACGCUGGCGGCAUGCCUAAUACAUGCAAGUCGAACGAACAAGCCCAUGAAGUAUCUAGCUUGCUAGAGACGGAUUGGAUUUUCUUGUUAGUGGCGAACGGGUGAGUAACACGUAGAUAACCUGCCCAUAAGCGAGGGAUAACUAUUGGAAACGAUAGCUAAUACCUCAUAGGAAUAUUUAACACAUGUUAUUUAUUUUAAAGAAGCAACUGUUUCACUUAUGGAUGGAUCUGCGGUGCAUUAGCUAGUUGGUGAGAUAAAAGCUCACCAAGGCGACGAUGCAUAGCCGGACUGAGAGGUCGAUCGGCCACAUUGGGACUGAGACACGGCCCAGACACCUACGGGUGGCAGCAGUAGGGAAUUUUUCGCAAUGGGGGCAACCCUGACGGAGCAAUGCCGCGUGGAGGAUGAAGGUUUUCGAAUCGUAAACUCCUGUUGUAAGGGAAGAACGGCAGAAGUAGUGGAAUGGCUUCUGUGUGACGGUACCUUACCAGAAAGCCUCGGCUAACUACGUGCCAGCAGCCGCGGUAAUACGUAGGAGGCAAGCGUUAUCCGGAAUUAUUGGGCGUAAAGAGCAUGUAGGCGGUUUAUUAAGUCUGGUGUGAAAGCUAGUGGCCUAACCACUAAAUUGCAUUGGAAACUGGUAAACUAGAAUACUGGAGAGGUAAGUGGAACUCCAUGUGUAGCGGUGGAAUGCGCAGAUAUAUGGAAGAACACCAACGGCGAAGGCAGCUUACUGGACAGAGAUUGACGCUGAGAUGCGAAAGCGUGGGGAGYAAACAGGAUUAGAUACCCUGGUAGUCC
This 830-nucleotide ribosomal RNA is filed under the name uncultured microorganism. Its description in RNAcentral is "bacterial SSU rRNA". It matches the Rfam family "Bacterial small subunit ribosomal RNA", at positions 1 to 796 of the family's 1533-position model. The record is from RNAcentral.